GCUCCUCCUUAUGGGGGACUUCUCUUCUCUUUUCUUUUUUCUUUCUGCAAUGAGCUGCACCUUGACGCUUUUGUCUCCCGAUGGUAGUGUCCUGCCGAAGCGCUUCCCUUGCCACAGGGAGUUUCGCUGAAGUCCACGAUCUGACAUCUGAGGAAGAAAGUUCAUCAUUUAACAAAAAAAUCGAAGGAGAUGGAGGAUGAACUUCGCAGGCUGAGGA
This 217-nucleotide long non-coding RNA is filed under the name Elaeis guineensis (African oil palm). RNAcentral's name for it is "long non-coding RNA (EGUI_LNC058166)". The record is from RNAcentral. Lineage: Eukaryota; Viridiplantae; Streptophyta; Magnoliopsida; Arecales; Arecaceae.